UCACUGCUUGCGCAGGCGCCUACAUCCAGGAUGUCAUGCCUGGGUAAGGUUCUUCGCUUUGCAUCGAAUUAAGCAACGCGCUCCGCCGCUUGUGCGGGCCCCCGUCAAUUCCUUUGAGUUUUAGCCUUGCGGCCGUACUCCCCAGGCGGCGAACUUAAUGCGUUAGCUUCGGCACGGAGGCCAUGACAGCCCCCACACCUAGUUCGCACCGUUUACGGCUAGGACUAC
Molecule: unclassified non-coding RNA, 228 nt
Filed under: uncultured Actinomycetes bacterium
Lineage: Bacteria; Bacillati; Actinomycetota; Actinomycetes
Description: uncultured actinobacterium contains 16S-23S intergenic spacer region
Source: RNAcentral